AUACGGAGGAUCCGAGCGUUAUCCGGAUUUAUUGGGUUUAAAGGGUGCGCAGGCGGCCAUUUAAGUCAGCGGUUAAAUCGUGGGGCUCAACCCCAUUCUGCCGUUGAUACUGGGUGGCUUGAUUGCGGUCGAGGUUGGCGGAAUUCGUUGUGUAGCGGUGAAAUGCAUAGAUAUGACGAAGAACACCGAUUGCGUAGGCAGCUGACCAGACCGCAAAUGACGCUCAUGCACGAAAGUGCGGGGAUCGAACAGGAUUAGAUACCCUGGUAGUCCGCACAGUAAACGAUGAAUACUUGUUUUCGGCGAUAUAAUGUCGGAGGCAAAGCGAAAGCGAUAAGUAUUCCACCUGGGGAGUACGCCGGCGACGGUGAAACUCAAAGGAAUUGACGGGG
This 392-nucleotide ribosomal RNA is filed under the name uncultured bacterium. Its description in RNAcentral is "partial 16S ribosomal RNA". It matches the Rfam family "Bacterial small subunit ribosomal RNA", at positions 523 to 918 of the family's 1533-position model. The record is from RNAcentral.